AUUGAACGCUGGCGGCAUGCCUUACACAUGCAAGUCGAACGGCAGCACGGGUGCUUGCACCUGGUGUCGAGUGGCGAACGGGUGAGUAAUACAUCGGAACAUGUCCUGUAGUGGGGGAUAGCCCGGCGAAAGCCGGAUUAAUACCGCAUACGAUCUACGGAUGAAAGCGGGGGACCUUCGGGCCUCGCGCUGUAGGGUUGGCCGAUAGCUGAUUAGCUAGUUGGUGGGGUAAAGGCCUACCAAGGCGACGAUCAGUAGCUGGUCUGAGAGGACGACCAGCCACACUGGGACUGAGACACGGCCCAGACUCCUACGGGAGGCAGCAGUGGGGAAUUUUGGACAAUGGGCGAAAGCCUGAUCCAGCAAUGCCGCGUGUGUGAAGAAGGCCUUCGGGUUGUAAAGCACUUUUGUCCGGAAAGAAAUCCUUGGCUCUAAUACAGUCGGGGGAUGACGGUACCGGAAGAAUAAGCACCGGCUAACUACGUG
RNAcentral lists this ribosomal RNA (486 nucleotides) under uncultured bacterium. Its description in RNAcentral is "partial 16S ribosomal RNA". It matches the Rfam family "Bacterial small subunit ribosomal RNA", at positions 30 to 507 of the family's 1533-position model. The record is from RNAcentral.